UACAGAGGGGGCAAGCGUUGUUCGGAAUUACUGGGCGUAAAGGGCCAGUAGGCGGCCAACUAAGUCGGAUGUGAAAUCCCCAGGCUUAACCUGGGAACUGCAUCCGAUACUGGAUGGCUUGAAUUCGGGAGAGGGAUGCAGAAUUCCAGGUGUAGCGGUGAAAUGCGUAGAUAUCUGGAGGAAUACCGGUGGCGAAGGCGGCAUCCUGGACCGACAUUGACGCUGAACGGCGAAAGCUAGGGGAGCAAACGGG
RNAcentral lists this ribosomal RNA (253 nucleotides) under uncultured bacterium. RNAcentral's name for it is "partial 16S ribosomal RNA". It matches the Rfam family "Bacterial small subunit ribosomal RNA", at positions 524 to 776 of the family's 1533-position model. The record is from RNAcentral.